This 148-nucleotide non-coding RNA is filed under the name Homo sapiens (human). The record is from Rfam by way of RNAcentral. Lineage: Eukaryota; Metazoa; Chordata; Mammalia; Primates; Hominidae.
GCCGGGUGUGGUGGCGGGUGCCUGUAAUCCCAGCUACUCCGGAGGCUGAUGCAGGAGAAUUGCUUGAACCCAGGAGGCAGAGAUUGCAGUGAGCCGAGAUUAUGCCACUGCACUCCAGCCUGGGUGACAGAGCAAGACUCUGUCUCAA